Molecule: long non-coding RNA, 2212 nt
Organism: Trachemys scripta elegans
Lineage: Eukaryota; Metazoa; Chordata; Testudines; Emydidae
Exons: 4
Source: RefSeq, a predicted model, not a curated record
AUGGAAAUCCAGGCGAGUUGAAGUUGCUCAAUAUUUUGCAGAGCUGGAGUGAAUGCUGAAAGACAGUAAUCAACAUUCAUGGAAGUGUAAACUUCUGCUCGGCUCAAUCAUUUUGCAGAGAUGCCUCUUCGAUUUUGCCAGACAUGUGGAGCAGGUCAAUAUGCUGCACUUGCCAAUGCCGUAUGGGAGUGCUGGUCAGGUUAAUAAAAAGAGAAGCCCAGUACAAAGUGGAUAGCGGCACUGAAAUGAGGUCUAAUGUUUCCUCUAAUCAGAUAUUGAGGACAUGCAUUCUUACAGAUCAAAGUUUUAACCCUUAGGAUACUGGCAUUUUCCAGACUGCCAGCCAAACAAAUGCUUAAGGCAUACAUCUACAGUCUUCCGUGGUUUUAAACCACACAAAUUUAUCCACCUGUGUCUUUUAAUGUUUUUAAAUGGGUUUUGGUGCCUAAGCAGAGAGAAGACAUAUGUGUGACUAUGCAGAAGCCAGGAAAAUAGGGCUGUGUCUGAGGUAAGUAGAGUGUUUUAUUUCAUAUUCACUUUUCUGUUGGUUGCUAUUAAUUUUUACAACUGACCUGGCAUUUCCCAGGCAAUAUAAAGGAGGGAAUUGUUGCUUCUUUCAAGUUCCGCACUUCUAUUGUAACAAUGAAGGGCCAAUCCCUGGAUCUCUCACAGGCAAGACACCCAUCACCAGCAAAAGCCAUUAAACCCACAAUUAACAAGAGUAUCAAAAGGUGCUGAGCACUCACAGCUUUUACUGAAGUCCGUGAAAGCUUCAGGAACUCAGCAGCUUUGAAAAACAGUCUGUAUGGGCCCGGUUCUACGAAAGCUGUCUCAUUGAGGGUGGAAUUGAGCCCUAAAGCACACAUAAUACUACAGUACAUAGUAGAAACCAUUCUAAGUGUCAUAGUUUUGCCAUUUCACUCUGGAACCAAGAACAAUUAAAACACUUUUGGCUGAGCUUGUGAGUUUGUUCAAAUAAAAACACAAAUAUCAAAGUGAAACUUAUGGGGAGUGACACCCUCUGAACUAAACAGCCCCAGGAACUGAAACUCUCGAGCUUUGCAAGGCAGUAGCCAAAAUGGGGGCUGAGAGCCAGAGCAAGUUUAGUGAUGGUGGCAAUACUUUGCCCCUUUCUCUCUCUGUUCACUGGCAAACAGAAAGCAGCAAGAUGUGAUCAUCCAGAAAAUCAUAAAAAGGGAGCAGAUGCUCAUGCUUGGAGAAGAGCUUUUUAUGUAGCUAACAUCAUCGUGCUAAUGCACAUACUUUUUCAUAAUUCUGUGAUUUAAUUGUUGCCCUAAGCCUCACUCAGCAUUUCUUAAAAAUGAAAUGAGAUGGCCUGGAAAUCUUCUGCAUAAUGUAGGGGCUAAAUUAUCAGAUCUUCUGAUAGUAUCACAUGUCCCUUUUGACUCUGCCACCAGUUCAGAUAGUGAAAGAAUGCAAUCAGAGUCACUGUUUCCAUCUUUAAAUGCAUACGAUAGUGCUAAACUUUUUAUUUCAUAAUGACAUUUCGCACAGAGAUUCCAAUUUCAUUUCAAAUAAUUGUAUGCUCUUUUGUACCAGUGGAUUACAACCUCCAAGGCCUCUUCUAGUUUCCUGAAUACGUGAGCUGGAGUAGCACCAUGGCCUGUCUGAGAAGGUCCAAGUGCAAUUAAGCCAUUUAGAGAAUACCAGACUGGAGAGCUCUGCCCAUGCAGUAAUCGUAAUUGUAUGAAAAGAGUCAGGAGCUACGAAGAAUCUGCAUGGCACUCUUUAAAGAAGCACUUCAUCCGUCCAGGAGCUAUGAAUGUUGUCAUGUUCUGUGCUUGAGGGUUGAGAGAGAUUUGGAGGUAUUCCUGUCUGAAGCCCAAUAAAAACCUGAGACAUGGCUCCUGCAGGCCAGUGUGCCAACUCACCAAAUAAGGAAGGGAGUGGGGGGAGUCACCAUUACAGGUUUUUUCAUCUCCUUUUCUUCAUGGCUUGCUUUAUAUUCACAAACUAAACAAAAUCCCCUCAAACAAGCACUUCUAUCUCAGACAGUGGGAGGGGAGAGAAUGCACCUUUCCCUGCUUGUAGCUCCCUUUGCAUCAGUUUCCCCGUUCGUUUUAUAACUCCCCUCAGAUCAUCUAGUUGAUGGGCUGGAACCUGGUAACCCUUUAUAGACGAGGCUGCAUUCACACCUUGUCACAGGCAGGGCCGGCUCCAGCAUUUCUGCCGCCCCAAGCAAAAAAAAAAA